RNAcentral lists this ribosomal RNA (449 nucleotides) under uncultured bacterium. RNAcentral's name for it is "bacterial SSU rRNA". It matches the Rfam family "Bacterial small subunit ribosomal RNA", at positions 329 to 793 of the family's 1533-position model. The record is from RNAcentral.
UUCCAGACUCCUACGGGAGGCAGCAGUGGGGGAUAUUGCACAAUGGGGGAAACCCUGAUGCAGCGACGCCGCGUGGGCGAAGAAGUAUUUCGGUAUGUAAAGCCCUAUCAGCAGGGAAGAAGAAGUGACGGUACCUGAGUAAGAAGCACCAGCUAAAUACGUGCCAGCAGCCGCGGUAAUACGUAGGUGGCAAGCGUUGUCCGGAUUUACUGGGUGUAAAGGGCGUGCAGCCGGAGAGACAAGUCAGAUGUGAAAUCCGCAGGCUCAACCUGCGAACUGCAUUUGAAACUGUUUCCCUUGAGUAUCGGAGAGGUCAUCGGAAUUCCUAGUGUAGCGGUGAAAUGCGUAGAUAUUAGGAAGAACACCAGUGGCGAAGGCGGAUGACUGGACGACAACUGACGGUGAGGCGCGAAAGCGUGGGGAGCAAACAGGAUUAGAUACCCGCGUAC